GAUGAACGCUGGCGGCGUGCUUAACACAUGCAAGUCGAACGGAAAGGCCAGUGCUUGCACUGGUACUCGAGUGGCGAACGGGUGAGUAACACGUGGGUGAUCUGCCCUGCACUUCGGGAUAAGCCUGGGAAACUGGGUCUAAUACCGGAUAGGACAAUGGUUUGGAUGCCGUUGUGGAAAGUUUUUUCGGUGUGGGAUGAGUUCGCGGCCUAUCAGCUUGUUGGUGGGGUAAUGGCCUACCAAGGCGUCGACGGGUAGCCGGCCUGGGAGGGUGUACGGCCACAGUGGGACUGAGAUACGGCCCAGACUCCUACGGGAGGCAGCAGUGGGGAAUAUUGCACAAGGGGCGCAAGCCUGAUGCAGCGACGCCGCGUGGGGGAGGACGGCCUUCGGGUUGUAAACUCCUUUCGCUAGGGACGAAGCGUAUUUGUGACGGUACCUGGAGAAGAAGCACCGGCUAACUACGU
This 467-nucleotide ribosomal RNA is filed under the name uncultured bacterium. Its description in RNAcentral is "partial 16S ribosomal RNA". It matches the Rfam family "Bacterial small subunit ribosomal RNA", at positions 28 to 506 of the family's 1533-position model. The record is from RNAcentral.